GACGAACCGUGCGAACGUUGUUCGGAAUCACUGGGCUUGAAGGGCGCGUAGGCGGGCCGUCUGGUCCGGGGUGAAAGCACACGGCUUAACCGUGUGACUGCCUGGGAUACCGGCGGCCUGGAGGGGGGUAGGGGCACGCGGAACUUCCGGUGGAGCGGUGAAAUGCGUUGAUAUCGGAAGGAACGCCGGUGGCGAAAGCGGCGUGCUGGGCCUUUCCUGACGCUGAGGCGCGAAAGCCAGGGGAGCGAACGGG
RNAcentral lists this ribosomal RNA (253 nucleotides) under uncultured bacterium. RNAcentral's name for it is "partial 16S ribosomal RNA". It matches the Rfam family "Bacterial small subunit ribosomal RNA", at positions 524 to 776 of the family's 1533-position model. The record is from RNAcentral.